ACGACUCUCGAUAAUGGAUAUCUCGACUCUCGCAUCAAUGAAGAAUGUAGCAAAAUGCGAUACCUUGUAUGAAUUAUAGAAUCUCAUGAAUCAUCGAGUCUUUGAAUGCAAGUUAAGCUCGAGGCCACCUAGCGAGGGCAUGCCUGCUUGGGCAUCACAU
This 160-nucleotide ribosomal RNA is filed under the name Nenga pumila var. pachystachya. RNAcentral's name for it is "5.8S rRNA". It matches the Rfam family "5.8S ribosomal RNA". Rfam says of the family: 5.8S ribosomal RNA (5.8S rRNA) is a component of the large subunit of the eukaryotic ribosome. It is transcribed by RNA polymerase I as part of the 45S precursor that also contains 18S and 28S rRNA. The record is from RNAcentral. Lineage: Eukaryota; Viridiplantae; Streptophyta; Magnoliopsida; Arecales; Arecaceae.